GUGGAGAUUUCCAUAGGAAACAUGAAACCGUUGUUGACCUGCUAUAGUACGUAAAUACAUCCAUACCAUAUGAACACAGUGAAACAGACCCGACAGCGUGAUUGCAAAGUCUUUCCAAAGCUCCAGAAAACAAAGUCCACUUUACAGUCGCCAAUGACCCAUCAGGCUGUCUUUGGGAUGAUGGAGGAAACCGGUCCACCCAGAGGAAACAUAUGUAAUCACAAGGGAAAAAAUGCAAACUCCACACAGACAGCACAGUAGGUCAGUUUCGAACCUAGUUCGCUUGAACCAUGUGGCCACAACUGCCAACUGUGUCUCAUUGACCUGUAUUUUACUGUGUUUACAUGUUCCUUUGAUUGAUUUUGUGUACCUUGUGUGUUAAGACUGUUGGCAGACUGAUUUCCCUCUGGGGAUGAAUAAAGUUCAAUCGUAUUGUAUCAUU
This is a long non-coding RNA of Leucoraja erinaceus (little skate), 442 nucleotides long. RefSeq lists it as uncharacterized. Lineage: Eukaryota; Metazoa; Chordata; Chondrichthyes; Rajiformes; Rajidae. The transcript has 2 exons. The record is from RefSeq and is a predicted model, not a curated record.